GUUACCAGGGAGCCAUAGCAGAAGCAAGCCACUUUCCCACUGUGCUCACUUGUCUGGUCCAGUGGCUGUCCUAACGAGACCUCAUUAAAGAAGCCAUUCUAAGACUCAGCGUUCACAUAUGAAAGGGAUCCCAUGCUACCAGGAAUUGCUGGGUUAAGAUGAUCCUGGACUCUUAAAAAUUCUGGGAAACAUCCAUAGAAGCUUGGUUUUUUCCAUCUUCUGUCUUGGGCUCAUUCCAACUUCGCUACAAUCUACUUGCCCAUUUACCUUUGGAAGCUUCCAUGUUCUGGAUCAUGAAUGCUAUCAACAUCCACAGAGUUCGUGGGGGAGUCAUGUCAAUAAGAUACAUGUGUAUAGUGGCCACCUCCUCCCACAAGAACAGCCAAGCAAAGAACCAACUGUCACAUUCGGACAAAACAACUAAAGGACAGUACCCAUGAACAUCAGAGGACUGGAACCACCUUGGACUCUUACAGGCUUGUCAAUAAGGGAACCUCUGUAGCCCUCAUAGGCAGUUGGCCCAGCAGAGAAAGCUGCCUGGGAUCUAACAGAUCCACUGUCUCCAAAGGAGGAGUUGGUGGUGUGCCCUGCAUCCCAUGGACAGUGUGGUUACAAUUCGGUGGCACCUUGGAACCAGAGCCCUAUUCUGGAGAUAGGAACGAUGGCAUACCUCCACCUCUGAGAAUUCAUCACUAUAGAAACAACCCCACCUGGUGGCCACCAUUCCUGCCACCAAACCACUACUUCACCAUAUUGCUUGUUGCUAAACUGCAUAGUCACUGCACUCCCAGCUGCUGUCACUCUUCGCCUGCCUUAGAUACAGUGGUGCCGAGCACCAAAAGUCUCCAACUGUAAAAUGGACUAACUCGAUUCUGUGUAAUUCUGCCGAAGUUCCUUCAUCUAGUUGAAUGCCCUACUGCUAAGCAACUAUGUAUGAAUUGUUAUGUAUUCUUCAUGAACUGACCCCCUUGUCAUUGUUCAAUUCUGUCUUCACACCUAACUUGCCUUACUCAGAACUUGCCUUGUCUGAAAUUAAUACAGAGGUGUAGAAGUUUGCUUAAAAAUUUUAUCUCCUCUAGAGAUACACAACUGACCACUGGGCAGAGCUCCUGAAAUCCAGUCCAAGAGAGGGAGGAGUGAUAACAGGAGCAAAGAGGUCAAGACCAUGUUGGGGAAAUCCACAGAAACAGCUGACCUGAGCUGGUGGGAGUUCAAUGACUCUGGACUGACAGCUGGGGAACCUGCAGAGGCUGACUUACUCUUGAAUACUGUGGUGGUUUAAAAGAAAAUGUCCCCCAAAGGAAGUGGCACUAAUGGGAGGUGUGGCCUUGUUGUAGUAGGUGUGGCCUUACUGGAGGAAGUGCAUCACUGUGGGUGCUGGCUUUGAGUUCUAUGCUCAAGCCAUGCCCAAUGAUACAGUUCACUUCCUGUUGCCUGUAUAUCAAUAUGUAGAAGUCUCAGCUCCCUCUCCAGCACUGUGUCUGCCUGCAUGCCGCCAUGCCAUGCCAUGAUGAUAAUGGACAAAACCUCUGAAACUGAGGAGAGGCGACCUGAAGGCAAGAUUCCGUUCUUCACUGUGUAGGCAAAGGAUGCCGGAGUAAUGAAUGAACAAGCAUACAGAGCUGGUUUUCUUCUAAUUUUUGUUAUGGAUAUGCAAAUUCAAUUUUGUGUGUAUUAAAGUAGCAAGAAUCAUUUUUGCAUCGCCAAAGAAGCCAUGUGUUAGUCCUUUGAAGAGGAAUUGUCUGAGUUGGAAUCGACCACCUUGGUCUUCAAAUGGCUAACGCCUGGAUUCAGGGUCCACUCCUGUACCUGUGUAACCUGACAUGAGCAUCCCAUUUGGAAUCUGGCAUUCCUUUACUCCCACCUGGCCCCAGGUCGCCUUCAUUUGGCACUGCUCAGGCCUGUGGCUGAGUGUCUUCUCUCUCACUGAGAACCAUGCUACCCUCGAUUUCCUCCCUACUCUCACCUCCUGACAAUAUUCUCCUAUUACAUCUUUGCUGCAGAGAGAAGGCCAGGCAAAAAGUGAACAUGUCCUCAUUCUUUCUUGUGAAAGAGCUAAAGGCUCCAUUCAGUCAGGUUGCCAUUUGUUUUCCCAAGAGAAAUGUUUUAUGUCACUAUGAUUAAUUUGACAAUUUGAUAGCUGACUGGUGAUUCUAUGGCACCCAGGAGCCUACUUUAUCAAUGGAAAAUAUUCAAAUUUCCCCUGGCAAUUAAAAAAGCUCCUUCUGGAAAAUUAGAUUCUAAACUUAGGGACCACAAAUCUGAAGCUGUCUUUUCUACCUAAAACUAUCUUUGAGACUUCCCAUAUAACCCCUGAAAAAUUACAAAUGCUGUUUAAUAUAUUUUCUGCCCUCCUCCCCCAAUAAGUUUCUCCGACAAUGAAAUAAGCCAGAUCAAGCUUGAAGAAGAAAAUAACAGGUAUAUUGAGUGAUGCAACUCCCGAGAGUGUUCUCCAGUCCCAGGGAUUGAGGCCAGAGAAGUUGUGCACCCAAACUAAAGCAGGGAGAUUUUAUGGAUUGCAGAGCUGCCAUGUGAUCUCGGGAAGAUGAUGAAUGCCACCAGCAUCCUCCAUAAG
Molecule: long non-coding RNA, 2575 nt
Filed under: Cricetulus griseus (Chinese hamster)
Lineage: Eukaryota; Metazoa; Chordata; Mammalia; Rodentia; Cricetidae
Description: lncRNA (ENSCGRG00015042739.1)
Source: RNAcentral